Molecule: long non-coding RNA, 208 nt
Organism: Alligator sinensis (Chinese alligator)
Lineage: Eukaryota; Metazoa; Chordata; Crocodylia; Alligatoridae
Exons: 3
Source: RefSeq, a predicted model, not a curated record
GCAGGAACUUCCUGGUGUGGCAGGAGAGCAACAAGUAACUGGACAAAGAAAGGAAGGCAGUCAUCAUUUGGUCAAACCAGAGCCAGCACCAGGAGCAGAAAUAUUUUGCAUGACAGAAGAGGAGGAGAAAAACUUUCCAUUUGCUGUGCCACAGUGGAACAGAGAGUUUUACUUCCCUAUACUUCUCCACUACGGACAGAAUAUAUCC